UUUCGUCAUCCUUAUGGCCUGUCAAGUUUUUAAGAUCUGUGCUGGAAUAACUAUUUUGUUGGCUGUUUGUAAGGAAAAGCCAAAAGUGUUAAUAGUGGCAGCUGUUUCAUUCUUUUCGGUUUUCGUCCAUGCACUUAUUGUAGAAUUCAUAAAGUUGGCUGCCACAGGUAAUGGGACUAAAGGGUUGAUUUCAGCUGCGCUCACAAUAUUUUUGAUUCUCUAUUUCACUUUGAUUCUCUGGAGUCACGCUCAAGAACUAAUAAAAGAAGAAGAAUGGGAAUAUUAUCAUGACGAAUCAGACGACCAGGAUCCUUAAGGAUAUCAGUAAACUAUUUACAUAUUUACGUUAAAGCAAC
Molecule: long non-coding RNA, 356 nt
Organism: Macrosteles quadrilineatus (aster leafhopper)
Lineage: Eukaryota; Metazoa; Arthropoda; Insecta; Hemiptera; Cicadellidae
Exons: 3
Source: RefSeq, a predicted model, not a curated record